UAAUUUUUAAAAAUAUAAGGAUCAAAAUAUUAAAAAUAAUUAAUUAUAAAAAAUAAUCUGUAAUUAGUCCAUUAACCCACAUGGACCAUACUACAUAGUGGGUCGGAUUCAGAUCGGGUAAAGCUCACGGCUCAAGAAGAAAUUCUGAACGGUGAGAUAUUGCUGUAAGAUUUGCGCUCCAUCAGGUGCUGCUCCGGACACGGUCGGAGAAGCGGUACGAACCCUAUACCUCUUCGGCCGAUCUUUUGCUCCCCCGUCGAGUCGUCUUUUCCUCUGGUCGCGCUCGAGGCCCAGGGUUCCGAUUCGCAGUGCGAGGCAUCGUAUUAAGCGGUUUUUCGUUCAGUAAUUCAAGAAAGUUCGAAUCUUGUUCUUGAGUAAAACCCUCGUCUCUAUUGGUUUAAUCGAAACUAGAAAUACAAGAAGCAGGAUUUUCUCUGCUCCUUGCGCUCCGAUUCCUUUAGUUUGGCUUCGAGGCAGACUCUUUAAUGUUCUUCCUCAUGAACCCAGGAAAUGGCCACCCUCUUCUCUGGUAAUUGGCAGCUGUUCUCAUUCUUUCCUAUGCAUCCAUCUUCGGAUAUUGUCUACUACCAAAUCAUUUUACUUCACUUAAUAAAGCUCAGAAUUUUGGGUGAGUAGCUGAUGCAGAAGUAGGUUUUCUUUUCCACUGCUUUGGGUGCAAUCUUAUUUGUUUAAAGAUUUCUCUUCUGGCGCCACUAUAUAGCUUUUUUGGAUUUCAUGUCAGCUUUAGGCUCAUCUUGAGAAGAGUUGUCUGUGUCAAAAUCCAUUCGCAUUUUUUCCCUCACACAAUUUUGUUUUCAUGCUGUAGCAUAUUCCCUUUAUAGAAGCAUUGCUUUUACUAUUUGAAGGAGAAAUCCAUGUAGCUCUCUCUCUCUAAUCUUUAUCGAUGAAGACUAAGUUGAAUCUUAAAUUUCGAUGAUGAAACUAAUUGAUAAUGUUAUGAUCUAAUCUAUGUUUUGAGUGACGCAGGACUAGUUUUGAUCAGAAAAGGUAAAUUGAAUAAAGCAGGAGGAAUCAGAUAUUGGACCGAAGUUAAACAUGUGAGAAGAUUAUAGGGUCGGUCGACGUGUCGGGAGAAGGCUUCAUACCGUGAAUUCAAGCAUCAGACCGAAGAAUUGGAUAUUGCGCUAAGGUGAUCGGAAGUUGCGGGUGUCAACAUGCCAAUUGGGCAAUACGCCGAAGGAGAGGACGAUGCGCCGAAAGAUCGAACGAAGCAUCGGAAGAACCAAAGACAUGUCGGACAACAGAUGAUUCGUGCUUUAUAAUAAUUUGUCUAGAUCGAGUUAGUUUAGGUCGUAAUUGGGUUGGUUUAGAAUGUAAUUAAGUUAACUCAAUUAUGAGCCAACUGGGCCCAAAGUGGAACUGUUUUGGGCCAAAAGAAGUGCCCAUUCACUGACCCAAAAGUUGGGCCAAGUAGUGGUAGCCAGACUAAGCGAUACCUUCAAGCGAUGGUACCGUCCAGAUAUAGUCUUCUAGACCGUGUCAAGCAAUGGUACCACCUAGUGUCAGUGCUGCAAGCGGUAGUACCGCCCAGCACAAGCGAUGAUACUGCUAGGACCGGGGAAACCCGAGAUGAGACCCUUUUUGGCUCUCAUUUUGAAGUCAUUUGGGGUCAAUAAAUAUCCCAGCUAUUCUUGCAUGGAGAAGCAAUAAUUUAAGCAGAAAGGAGUUAUUAUUCUAAAUUGAAAAAGUGUCAAGUGUCCUCCUCCUCUUUAAGUUUCGGGCUUAGUCUAUGAGAGGUAUGAAGCUUGUAAGGGUUGUCUCCCAAACCCGUGAAAAGGAGAAAGAGUGUAAAAGGAUAGUUGGCCUUCGCCUAUUGAAGGAAGACCGGUAGUGGAAGCCGGUGGCCUCGAGUGAAAAGGAAUCUGGAGUGGAUGUAGGUCACAACGAUCGAACCACUAUAAAUCGAUUUGCAUUUCUGUUUUGCUAUUUUCUUUUAUUACAAACUACUUUACUUCCUCGUUACUUUAGCUGCACACUCUUACGAACGUUUUCAAAGUUAAACAUUGUCGAAACGAUUUUAUCGUACGAAGAUUUUCGACUCGACGUGAUUUUUACGUACUCACUAAUUCAUCCCCCCAUUCUCUUAGUACUGAUUCGAUUCUAACAAUUGGUAUUAGAGUCACGUUUUUCUCAUUUAGUUUAACACCAAAGAGAAAUGACUCUUUUGUAUGAAGCCGAGUGAAAUUAUUGUUGACAUGUACACUCGUUUUACGGAUGUCGUUAAUAGUUUAAAAGCACUUAGUAAAAGUUUUUUAAAUCUUGAACUUAUCAAUAACAUUUUACGUCUUCCUAAAAAUUAGGAUCCUAAAGUAUCUGCAAUACAAUAGGCAAAAGACUUAAACAAGUUCUCACUUGAAGAACUUAUCGGGUCAUUAAUGACCUAUGAAAUGAUAUGCAAGACACACGAUGAACUGAUGAACUUGAUGAACAUGAGAAUAACCUUUCAAAGAACAGGAAAGAUUUGACACUUAAAAUAAUAGAAUACCACUUGAGUGAUAACUCAAGUGAUUAUGAUGAUGACCUUGAACUUCUCACAAUAAAGCUUAAAAUAUUCUUAAAAUAAGAAUCAAAGAGUAAAAAUGAACUUAAAAAGAAGAAUCUACCAAAGAAGAAGAAAGUUUUAAAAGUUGCUUGGGACGAAUUGAGCUCAUUCGAAGACGAGAGACAAACCAACAAAGACAAGGUGUCAAACUACGUCUUAAUGGCUUUUGACAACGAGGUAAUCAAAACCCUCUUAGUUUACUAUGAAAUUACUUGAUGCAUUUCAUAAGUUAUUUUUAAAUUAGUAUAUAAAAUAUAAAAAUUAAAUAAAAGAGGAUCAUGUUUUUCUUACUAGUGUUUUUGAAAAAUUUAAAAAAAAUUAAUCAUGACAUUUGCAUUUCUUUAUGAUAAAGAAACAAAAUAUUAGAUUUAAAUCUAAUGCUUGUACACCUAAUAAGAUUAAUCCUAUAUCUGUUUUUAAGAAGCAAUAAUAUGUAUCUUGAUGAUUUCUGUAUUGCUUUUUGAUUUUGAUUGAAAAUGCUUUAUGUUUAAUAAAAUCAUGUUUAAUGUUUUAAUGAUGUAAUGAAGUAAUAAUGUGUAUAUUCUCAUAUUGCUUUUCAAUUAUAAAUGAUGAUGCAUGGUCUUUGUAUGAAAAACUAGAGCAUGAAAUCAAUCACAAAUUUUGGAACUAAAAGAACUAGAGUUAUUUUUAAUCUUAUAGGAAUCUAUCUACGUUGCUUUCAUUGAAUUUUUUGAAAUGUAAUUUUGAUGAUGAUUCGUUUUAAUAAUGAGAUGAUAUAUAUCCAAUCUAAUCAUUUAUCGAUGUUUGUGACAUGAGAUGUAUUUUAUAUAAAAUAUUUUUUCUUGAUUCACGUAUGAUUUACUCGUCUAAGAGAAGAUUUAUCCAAAUGAAUCUUGAUUCUUGACAUUAAUAAUUUGAGAUUUAUUUGAAUCAAAAUAUCUUAUUUGAUCUCCUAUGAUUCUAUUCAUUAUUUACUAAAAAGGAGAUCUGUGAAGAUGAAUCAUUCACGAAUUGAUCUUUCGUAAUUAUGAUUUAUAUAUCUCAUGAUAUAAUUGAAUCAUUGAUUAAAAAAAAAGAUAGAUUAAUGAAUCUAUUUGUCUUUUUUUAAUAAAUCUCUUGAAAAUGAUUUUGAUGAUUUAAAUUUGAAUGAGUCUUAUCUAUAACAUGAUCUUGAUUUUUUUUGGAAUUAUAACAUGACAUUUUUUAUGAAUCAAGAUCAUUUACUAUGAUUCUUCUUUUCGCUAUUUGAGUCAUCCAAAAAGAAUCAUAAUUUUUCUUUUGAUUUUUCGAUAUUCACAAUUUGAAAUUUGGUUCAUGACUCUAUUCAAGAAGUGUAUAUCUCAUCAUCCAAUUAAUUUUUCUUGAUAUUUUUCAUAUGAUGAUAUGAAAUUAUGCAUGAAAUACUCAUGAUAUUAUGUUGAUGCAUACAAAUGAGAAGUUAUGAUCUAUGCAUGGUAGGAUGCAAUGUAAUUUGAUAUUUUGAUACCAUCAUGAUUUGAAAUAUUUAUGAUUUAGAAUGAUACAUACAAUACUUAUGAUUUUUUUAUAAAAUGAUAUGAAAGUCAACAAUUGUCAUUUUCUGAAAUGAUACCUUAUUUCAAUAUGCGAUAUUGAAAUAAGAUUGAUAUUUUAUCCUUCUGAUGAUUUAGAAUGUGAUGUAAAGGGAAAAGAAUUGUAACAUUGUAUGCUUCCUUUCUUUUUUACAAUGAUAAAAGGGGAGAAAAAUUUAUUAACUUGCACAUUACAAAAGGAAAACUUGUUAGGAAGCAAAAUUGCUAGAUUGCACUUCUCAAAAGAGAAGAAAGAACUUGAACAUCACCAAGAAUUACUAGAUUGCAAUAUCAAGAGAAACAAGUGUUAUCUUGCCUAUCUCAAGAAGCAAAACUUAUAAACUUGCAUAUCUUUACAAACUAGCAUAACUUAAAAUUGUUGUUAGUUUGUAUGUUGUAAAACUUACCCAUCUUAAAAAUUUACUAGAUGCACUUUUCCUUUUUUGUUGAUGACAAAGGAGGAGAAGUAACGAUGAUGAUUUGAAUCAUAUGUGGUCUGAUGUAUUUUUAUAUUUUGAAACAUUACAUGAUUUUCUGAAUUUAAAGGUUCUAUCAAUAUGACAUAUUUAUAGGGGGAGUUAAGGUUAACUCUGUCAUCAAUUGGUUGUCAUCAUAAAAAAGGAGGAGAUUGUUGAAUCUCAGAUUUUGAUGAUGUUAUGAUUUAAUCUGUAUUUUAAGUGACGUAGGACUAGCUUCAAUUAGGAGAGACAAAUUGAUUAAAGCACGAGGAAUCGGAUAUUGGGUCGGAGUUAAACAUGUCAGAAGAUUGGACGUCGGACCAGAGGAUCGGUCGAUGUGUCAGCAGAAGGCUUCGUGCCGUGAGUUUGAGCAUCGGGCCGAAGGAUCGGACAUUGAGACAAGGAGAUCGGAAGUUGCGGGUGUCAACAUGCCGAUUGGGCAAUAUGCCGAAGGAUCAUACGAAGCGUUGAAAGAACCAAUGACAUGUCGGACAAUAGAUGAUUUGUGCUUUAUAGCAAUUUGUCUAUCUCGAGUUAGUUUAGGUCGUAAUUAGGUUGGUUUAUAAUGCAAUUAAAUCAACUCAAUUAUGGGCCAAUUGGGCUUAAAGUAGGAUUGUUUUGGUCCAAGAGAGAGACCCAUUCAGUGACCCAAAAAUUGGGUCAGGCGGUGGCACCGCUAGUGGCUCAGUCUCCGAGACACGGUCGCCAAGAUUGUGUCAAGCAAUAGUAUCGCCAGAUUGAGCGGUGGUACCACCCAGACCACUGCCUAGUAUGGCGGUACUACCGCCCAAACACAGUCUUCCAAAUUAUGUCAAGCGGUGGUAUCGUUUAGUGUCAGUGCUGCAUGCAGUAGUAUCGCCCAGCACAGGUGAUGGUACCGUCAGGACCCGAGAAACCCGAGAUGAGAAUUUUUUUGGCUCUAAUUUUGAAGUUAUUUGGGAUCUAUAAAUACCCCAGCUAUUCCUCCAUGGAGAAGCAAAAAAUUUGAACAGAAAUGUGUUGUUAUUCUAAGUUGAAAAAGUGCUAAGUAUCCUCGUCUUUAAGUUUGGGGCUUAGUCUAAGAAAGGUGUAAGGCUUGUAAUGGUUGUCUCUUAAACAUGUGAAGAGGAGAAAAGUAUAAAAGGAUAGUUGGUCUUCGCCUAUUGAAGGAAGACUGGUAGUGGAAGCCGGUGGCCUCAAGUGAAGAGGAAUCGAGAGUGGAUGUAGGUCACGACGAUCGAACCACUAUAAAUCGGUUUGCAUUUCUAUUUUACUAUUUUUCUUCAUUGCAAACUGCUUUACUUUCUUAUUAUUUUAGCUACUUACUCUUACGAACGCUUUCAAAGUUAAACAUUGUCGAAACGAUUUUAUCGUACGAAGAUUUUCGACUCGACGUGAUUUUUACGUACGCACUCCCCCCUUUUAAUGCUACUCAAUCCUACCACAGUUUUUUUUCUUGGGCAUCCUUGUUCAAUGAACUAGAAGUCAUGCAAUGCAUCUAAAUAUUCCACCAUGACCAAAAGGUAUGACUCUUCAUCUUGUGUUUCAAUUUCUCCGCUAAUUGGAAUGAAUGCCUGCUUUGACCCCUGAGAUUCUAGCAUAUCAUGAACCCACCAGUCAUCAGUUCAUUGCGGAAGUUCAUAUUGUAUGUUCUUUUAAGAAAUUUGUGGUUGGGCAUUUGCUCAGCAUGUUUUGCUGUACUUUAUGGACAUUAAUAGCCUGUGUUGUUUCUUUAGUGCUUGACAGAAUUUGUAUCCAUCAGUUUACUACUACCGGUUGUUUCAAUCUUAUGUUCCCUAAAGCAGCCAAGGAUAUAUCUGAUGCUCCAUAGAAUCAAACUAGUAUCAUCCUGAUGCAUCUGUAUAGGCCAAGUCUGAUGCUUUUAGUUUCUGGUUUUGCCUUCUCCAUUUGUCUCCUGUAUUUGCCUGAGGUUUUACAUCUCAAAGAUGAUUGAAAUUUGAUGAGCCUAAACUACUAAAUCAAAGUUUAUUUACUAUAGUCA
Long non-coding RNA from Musa acuminata AAA Group (dessert banana), 6513 nucleotides. RefSeq lists it as uncharacterized. The transcript has 2 exons. The record is from RefSeq and is a predicted model, not a curated record. NCBI's taxonomy places the organism in Eukaryota, Viridiplantae, Streptophyta, Magnoliopsida, Zingiberales, Musaceae.